Neofelis nebulosa (Clouded leopard) is the source of this 1483-nucleotide non-coding RNA. NCBI's taxonomy places the organism in Eukaryota, Metazoa, Chordata, Mammalia, Carnivora, Felidae. The record is from the annotation of a RefSeq genome assembly.
GUAUGACUGUGUUUGGGACGGGCAUGUGGUCUCUGAUUGGCUGAUCACACCCCCUGAGAAUCCUUUGUUUAGCGUUAAAAAAUGUUGAAUAGACAGCCAGCUUUUGGGAGCAGCCCUGUGCAGAAGAAAGAUGGAGAAGCAUCUGAGGACCUCCUUGGUGGUUUUGUGGCUUCAUUUUUGUUGGGUGAGUGGCAAAAACCAAGUGGAACAGCAUCCUCCAUCCCAGAUCAUCCAGGAGGGAGAGAACUGCACAUUUCAUUGCAACUAUACAGUGAGCCCCUUUAGCCAUUUAAAAUGGUACAAGCAGGGCACCGGGAGAAGUCCUGCUUUCCUGAUAAUCAUGACUUACGAUGACAGCAAAAACCCAAGUGGCAGGUACACAGGGACUCUGGAUGCAACCUCCAAGCACAGCUCCUUGCACAUCACAGCCGCCCAGCUCAGCGACUCAGCUGUCUACAUCUGUGUGGUGAGCGCACUGUGUUCCCCAGGCACUUGCAGCCAGUACACAAACCUGCACCUGCAGGUUGUUGAGGACGCUUAGCAGGUGACGUACUAGCAUUGUUUUGUUUGUUUGUUUGUUUGUUUUCUUUUUUUUAUGUUGUAUAUACUUUCACUAGUGAGCUGGUACUUCUUUCUUACACAUGACUGAGUUUGAGCUGAAGCCAGGAUGUCUACACAGCACAAAGUUACCCUCAUUCAACACAUAAAGUUAACUGCCACAUCUGGCUAUUCCCAAAGGUAAGACUGCCAUGUUGCCUUACUUCUGUUGAAGUAAAUGAUGAUUUUGUCUUAAAGAGAGAAAUUGGCUCUGUCUGGGGUCCAGCGACCAGUUCCUACUGUCAACGAAGUGGAAAAGCAACAAGUUGAUGGGGCUGAUCACAGUAUUUGACUAGCUUCCUUCCCCUUGACAGAUUUUUAUUCCUCAUUUAAUGGCUAUUCAAGUUCUCAGGAUGCAUUCUGUGGGGAGAGAUCUGCUUUACCAAUUUAUCUGUGCUUCACAUCAAGGCACCUUUCCAGAUGCGGCACAGACUCAUUUAUUGUCAUCCACGGCUGCUCCUUUGGAGAACAUCGCUGCUCAGACUAUUAUGCCAGCAUGAGGCUGGCAGGCACAGUCACUCCGAGGCAACAGGCCAGCUGUCCCAGACUCUUCAGCUAAUAGUAUCCUAGAAAAGAAGCGUAAGGGACAAAAUGUCUACAUGCUAUAGGGUAGUCUUAGAUUGCCCAAAUUAGCUGUGAUGAUCUUUUUUGAGACGCUUACAGAAAUUUAAAUAUGGUUUGAGUGUUGGAUGAGAUAACUAUUUAUUUUAUUUGAAAAGCAUAUGUUAACUGAGAAAAACAAGAAGGACGUAUGAGUCAUUAAAAAUGGCAAUCUCUUUGAGUGGUAAGAAUACGCCACUUGACCUGAGCGAAAACUGAGAGUAGCACUGUUAACUGACUGAGCUACCCAGGUGCCCCACCAAUUUCUUGCUUCUAGUGUAUUUUA